GGUUGUCGACAUUCCCCUCAAAAAAAUCAUUCUGAUGGACCCAUUUGGAAAUGAAGCCUCCUAUGAGAGGAGAAUUUUGCGCAACUGGAGGAAUUUUAUGAAACAGAGAGGGGAUGAUGAGAACAGAGCAACAUGGACAGUAGCAACCCUGCAACACAACAAGCAGAGAGAUGGUAGCAGUUGCGGCGUUUUAAUUUUGAAGUUUGCUGAACAUCUCCUUUCAGAGGGAGACAUCAGUCGAGUUCAGACGACUUCAGAUUUCGUGACAAAUGCCCGAUUGGAAAUAGCCUGUUCCCUCCUGGAAUAUCAGGGCAAGGCAUUGGACUACUGUGUCAUUUGCUCCAUGAUGGAAGGCGAUGCUGACAAAACCCUAAUUGAAAUGGUCCAAUGCGACCACUGCAACAGAUGGGCACAUUUUCAAUGUGCAAAUUUUGAUCCAAAGAAUCAGUUUGCUUUCAUUUGUACAAAGUGUUUGUGAAAGUUUUUUUUUUCUUUUUGGCUUCAAAUACAUAUUAAAGUACCAGUA
Molecule: long non-coding RNA, 526 nt
Organism: Brienomyrus brachyistius
Lineage: Eukaryota; Metazoa; Chordata; Actinopteri; Osteoglossiformes; Mormyridae
Exons: 5
Source: RefSeq, a predicted model, not a curated record